This 857-nucleotide ribosomal RNA is filed under the name uncultured Pseudomonas sp. RNAcentral's name for it is "partial 16S ribosomal RNA". The record is from RNAcentral. Lineage: Bacteria; Pseudomonadati; Pseudomonadota; Gammaproteobacteria; Pseudomonadales; Pseudomonadaceae.
UACCUUGUUACGACUUCACCCCAGUCAUGAAUCACACCGUGGUAACCGUCCUCCCGAAGGUUAGACUAGCUACUUCUGGUGCAACCCACUCCCAUGGUGUGACGGGCGGUGUGUACAAGGCCCGGGAACGUAUUCACCGCGACAUUCUGAUUCGCGAUUACUAGCGAUUCCGACUUCACGCAGUCGAGUUGCAGACUGCGAUCCGGACUACGAUCGGUUUUGUGGGGUUAGCUCCACCUCGCGGCUUGGCAACCCUCUGUACCGACCAUUGUAGCACGUGUGUAGCCCAGGCCGUAAGGGCCAUGAUGACUUGACGCCAUCCCCACCUUCCUCCGGUUUGUCACCGGCAGUCUCCUUAGAGUGCCCACCAUAACGUGCUGGUAACUAAGGACAAGAGUUGCGCUCGUUACGGGACUUAACCCAACAUCUCACGACACGAGCUGACGACAGCCAUGCAGCACCUGUCUCAAUGUUCCCGAAGGCACCAAUCCAUCUCUGGAAAGUUCAUUGGAUGUCAAGGCCUGGUAAGGUUCUUCGCGUUGCUUCGAAUUAAACCACAUGCUCCACCGCUUGUGCGGGCCCCCGUCAAUUCAUUUGAGUUUUAACCUUGCGGCCGUACUCCCCAGGCGGUCAACUUAAUGCGUUAGCUGCGCCACUAAGAGCUCAAGGCUCCCAACGGCUAGUUGACAUCGUUUACGGCGUGGACUACCAGGGUAUCUAAUCCUGUUUGCUCCCAACGCUUUUCGCACCUCACUGUCAGUAUCAGUCCAGGUGGUCGCCUUUCCCACUGGUGUUCCUUCCUAUAUCUACGCAUUCCACCGCUACCAGGAAAUUCCACCACCUCUACCACACUCUAC